This 1389-nucleotide long non-coding RNA is filed under the name Homo sapiens (human). RNAcentral describes it as "non-protein coding lnc-NOC2L-11:1". The record is from RNAcentral. Lineage: Eukaryota; Metazoa; Chordata; Mammalia; Primates; Hominidae.
CUGACCCCGACCCCCGCAUAUACCAGCAAAGGUGCGCCCGGGGGCCUGACCCCGACCACCGCAUAUACCAGCAACAGUGCGCCCGGGGGGCCUGACCCCGACCACCGCAUAUACCAGCAAAGAUGCGCCCGGGGGCCUGACCCCGACCACCGCAUAUACCAGCAACGGUGCGCCCGGGGGCCUGACCCCGACCCCCGCAUAUACCAGCAACGGUGCGCCCGGGGGCCUGACCCCGACCACCGCAUAUACCAGCAACGGUGCGCCCGGGGGCCUGACCCCGACCCCCGCAUAUACCAGCAACGCCCGGGGGCCUGACCCCGACCCCCGCAUAUACCAGCAACGGUGCGCCCGGGGGCCUCCUCAUCCCUCCCCCAUCCCUUCCCCUCCCACUUGUCCCCUCUCCCCUCCCACCUGUCCCCUCAUUCCCUCCCCCAUCCCCUCCCCUCUCCGGAGACCCUUCAGGUGGAAGGAACAGCCUGGGAAGUCCCGGGGGGCUUGGCGAGCAGGGGGCAGGGAGCCAGUGAUGGGCCCUCCUCCCUUCUCAUCAUGGAAAGAAGACUUUUUUUUUUUUUUUUUUUUUUUUAGGAGACACAGUCUCCCUCUGUUGCCCAGGCUGGAGUGCAAUGGUGUGAUCUCGGCUCACUGCAACCUCCACCUCUUGGGUUCAAGCAAUUCUUUCACCUCAGCCUCCCCAGUAGCUGGGAUUAUGGGCAUGCACCACCACACCAUGCUAAUUUUUGUAUUUUUAGUAGAGAGAUGGGGUUUCACCAUGUUGGCCAGGCUGGUCUUGAACUCCUGACCUCAAAUGAUCCGCCCACUUUGGCUUCCCUAAGUGCUGGGAUUACAGGCGUGAGCCAUCAUGUCCAGCCAAUUUUUUUUUUUUUUAAGAUAGGGUCUCACUCUGUCACCCAGGCUGACGUGCAGUGGUACUGUUUUGGCUUGCUGCAUCCUGGGAAAGGAGAGUGUAACAGCACUUUAAGGAACAGAAGCCUUUCAAUGGCCAGAGAGUGACAGAAAAGUCUUAGGGAGGUAGGGGAAAACGAGAGGCCUGGGAGCCGGGCUCCCGGGACGGCGGUGGCUCAGCCUUCUCUCCUGCGGAGGUGCACCCAGCCCAUGCUCCCUGCACUUCUGGCCUCCUCGGGUGUGGUGAAUGAGUGUGCUUAAAGGGGAAGCGACAGCCCAUGCUCCCUGCACCUCUGGCCUCCUCGGGUGUGGUGAAUGAGUGUGCUUAAAGGGGAAGCGACAGCAGACUCUGGCACUGGCUGUUCUGUCUGUGGCUAAGGAGAAUGCCCGGGACGUGUGCUGCCUGCAGGGGUGGCAGGACACCAGCUGCAGAGACACCUCCUGUGCUGCCCUCCGGGGUGGGCUCCAGACUCUCUUCCCGGCUCC